Non-coding RNA from Triticum aestivum (bread wheat), 125 nucleotides. The record is from Rfam. Lineage: Eukaryota; Viridiplantae; Streptophyta; Magnoliopsida; Poales; Poaceae.
AUGAUACUCCUUCUGUCCGGAAAUACUUGUCCGGAGAAUGGAAGUAUCUAGAUGUAUUUUAUUUUUAGAUGCAUCCAUCUGUAUCCAUUUUCGCGACAAGUAUUUUCAGACGGAGGGAGUACAUA